GUCAGUUUGGCCGAGUGGUCUAAGGCGCCAGACUCAAGUUGUGGUGGAGAAAUCCGCGUGGGUUCGAACCCCACAGCUGACA
Molecule: transfer RNA, 82 nt
Filed under: Perkinsus marinus ATCC 50983
Lineage: Eukaryota; Perkinsozoa; Perkinsida; Perkinsidae
Rfam family: tRNA
About the family: Transfer RNA (tRNA) molecules are approximately 80 nucleotides in length. Their secondary structure includes four short double-helical elements and three loops (D, anti-codon, and T loops). Further hydrogen bonds mediate the characteristic L-shaped molecular structure. tRNAs have two regions of fundamental functional importance: the anti-codon, which is responsible for specific mRNA codon recognition, and the 3' end, to which the tRNAs corresponding amino acid is attached (by aminoacyl-tRNA synthetases). tRNAs cope with the degeneracy of the genetic code in two manners: having more than one tRNA (with a specific anti-codon) for a particular amino acid; and 'wobble' base-pairing, i.e. permitting non-standard base-pairing at the 3rd anti-codon position.
Source: Rfam by way of RNAcentral